ACGGGUGAGUAACACGUGAGCAACCUGCCCCUGACUCUGGGAUAAGCGCUGGAAACGGCGUCUAAUACUGGAUAUGUGACGUGACCGCAUGGUCUGCGUCUGGAAAGAAUUUCGGUUGGGGAUGGGCUCGCGGCCUAUCAGCUUGUUGGUGAGGUAAUGGCUCACCAAGGCGUCGACGGGUAGCCGGCCUGAGAGGGUGACCGGCCACACUGGGACUGAGACACGGCCCAGACUCCUACGGGAGGCAGCAGUGGGGAAUAUUGCACAAUGGGCGGAAGCCUGAUGCAGCAACGCCGCGUGAGGGAUGACGGCCUUCGGGUUGUAAACCUCUUUUAGCAGGGAAGAAGCGAAAGUGACGGUACCUGCAGAAAAAGCGCCGGCUAACUACGUGCCAGCAGCCGCGGUAAUACGUAGGGCGCAAGCGUUAUCCGGAAUUAUUGGGCGUAAAGAGCUCGUAGGCGGUUUGUCGCGUCUGCUGUGAAAUCCGGAGGCUCAACCUCCGGCCUGCAGUGGGUACGGGCAGACUAGAGUGCGGUAGGGGAGAUUGGAAUUCCUGGUGUAGCGGUGGAAUGCGCAGA
RNAcentral lists this ribosomal RNA (578 nucleotides) under Microbacterium sp. HRRP088. RNAcentral describes it as "bacterial SSU rRNA". It matches the Rfam family "Bacterial small subunit ribosomal RNA", at positions 102 to 694 of the family's 1533-position model. The record is from RNAcentral. Lineage: Bacteria; Bacillati; Actinomycetota; Actinomycetes; Micrococcales; Microbacteriaceae. RNAcentral also lists the same sequence under 12 other names.